Molecule: ribosomal RNA, 316 nt
Filed under: uncultured bacterium
Lineage: Bacteria
Description: partial 16S ribosomal RNA
Rfam family: Bacterial small subunit ribosomal RNA
Source: RNAcentral
GACGAACGCUGGCGGCGCGCCUAACACAUGCAAGUCGAACGGAGUUGUGUUGAAAGCUUGCUGGAUAUACAACUUAGUGGCGGACGGGUGAGUAACACGUGAGUAACCUGCCUCUCAGAGUGGAAUAACGUUUGGAAACGAACGCUAAUACCGCAUAACGUGCGGUCCUCGCAUGGGGACUGUACCAAAGAUUUUAUCGCUGGAAGAUGAGCUCGCGGCCGAUUAGGUAGUUGGUGAGAUAACAGCCCACCAAGCCGACGAUCGGUAGCCGGACUGAGAGGUUGAUCGGCCACAUUGGGACUGAGACACGGCCCAG